Molecule: ribosomal RNA, 251 nt
Filed under: uncultured prokaryote
Description: partial 16S rRNA
Rfam family: Bacterial small subunit ribosomal RNA
Source: RNAcentral
ACGGAGGGUCCGAGCGUUAUCCGGAUUUAUUGGGUUUAAAGGGUGCGUAGGCGGUUUUAUAAGUCAGCGGUGAAAUUCUCCGGCUCAACCGGGGGACUGCCGUUGAUACUGUAAGUCUAGGAUAUGGUUGAUGUGGGUGGAAUGUGUGGUGUAGCGGUGAAAUGCUUAGAUAUCGGGCGGAAUAUCGAUUGCGAAGGCAGCUUCCAGGCCCAUUAUUGACGCUGAUGUGCGAAAGUGUGGGGAUCGAACAG